Molecule: ribosomal RNA, 502 nt
Filed under: uncultured bacterium
Lineage: Bacteria
Description: bacterial SSU rRNA
Rfam family: Bacterial small subunit ribosomal RNA
Source: RNAcentral
AAUCAACGCUGGCGGCGUGCCUCAGACAUGCAAGUCGAACGCGAAAGUCUCCUUCGGGGGACAAGUAGAGUGGCGCACGGGUGAGUAACACGUAGGUAAUCUACCUUCGGAUGGGGAAUAACAACCGGAAACGGUUGCUAAUACCGCAUAAUGCAGCGGCACCUAAUGGUGACAGUUGUUAAAGCGGGGGAUCGAAAGACCUCGCGUCUGAAGAGGAGCCUGCGGCGGAUUAGCUAGNGGUAGGGUAGCGGCCUACCAAGGCGACGAUCCGUAGCCGGCCUGAGAGGGCGGUCGGCCACACUGACACUGACAUACGGGUCAGACUCCUACGGGAGCAGCAGUCGGGAAUUUGGGCAAUGGGCGAAAGCCUGACCCAGCAACGCCGCGUGAAGGAUGAAAUCCCUCGGGAUGUAAACUUCGCAAGAACGGGAAAGAUAAGCGAGAGUAAAUAUCUUUCGCGAUGAACGGUACCGUUUGUAAGCUCCGGCUAACUCCGUGCCAG